Molecule: ribosomal RNA, 492 nt
Filed under: uncultured bacterium
Lineage: Bacteria
Description: partial 16S ribosomal RNA
Rfam family: Bacterial small subunit ribosomal RNA
Source: RNAcentral
AGUGAACGCUGGCGGUAGGCCUAACACAUGCAAGUCGAACGGCAGCACAGUAAGAGCUUGCUCUUACGGGUGGCGAGUGGCGGACGGGUGAGGAAUACAUCGGAAUCUACUUUUUCGUGGGGGAUAACGUAGGGAAACUUACGCUAAUACCGCAUACGACCUACGGGUGAAAGCAGGGGAUCUUCGGACCUUGCGCGAUUGAAUGAGCCGAUGUCGGAUUAGCUAGUUGGCGGGGUAAAGGCCCACCAAGGCGACGAUCCGUAGCUGGUCUGAGAGGAUGAUCAGCCACACUGGAACUGAGACACGGUCCAGACUCCUACGGGAGGCCGCAGUGGGGAAUAUUGGACAAUGGGCGGAAGCCUGAUCCAGCCAUACCGCGUGGGUGAAGAAGGCCUUCGGGUUGUAAAGCCCUUUUGUUGGGAAAGAAAAGCAGCAGGUUAAUACCCCGCUGUUCUGACGGUACCCAAAGAAUAAGCACCGGCUAACUUCGUG